This 406-nucleotide ribosomal RNA is filed under the name uncultured bacterium. RNAcentral's name for it is "partial 16S ribosomal RNA". It matches the Rfam family "Bacterial small subunit ribosomal RNA", at positions 30 to 526 of the family's 1533-position model. The record is from RNAcentral.
AUUGAACGCUGGCGGCAGGCCUAACACAUGCAAGUCGAACGAGUGGCGGACGGGUGAGUAGUGUCUGGGAAACUGCCCGAUGGAGGGGGAUAAAUACUGAAAACGGUAGCUAAUACCGCAUACCAUCGGAUGUGCCCAGAGGGGAUUAGCUAGUAGGUGGGGUAAAGGCGCACCUAGGCGACGCUCCCUAGCUGGUCUGAGAGGAUGACCAGCCACACUGGAACAGAGACACGGUCCAGACUCCUACGGGAGGCAGCAGUGGGGAAUAUUGCACAAUGGGCGCAAGCCUGAUGCAGCCAUGCCGCGUGUAUGAAGAAGGCCUUCGGGUUGUAAAGUACUUUCAGCGGGGAGGCGUUACCCGCAGAAGAAGCACCGGCUAACUCCGUGCCAGCAGCCGCGGUAAUUC